AUGCAGUCGAGCGAACUGAUUAGAAGCUUGCUUCUAUGACGUUAGCGGCGGAUGGGUGAGUAACACGUGGGCAACCUGCCUGUAAGACUGGUAUAACUUCGGGAAACCGAAGCUAAUACCGGAUAGGAUCUUCUCCUUCAUGGGAGAUGAUUGAAAGAUGGUUUCGGCUAUCACUUACAGAUGGGCCCGCGGUGCAUUAGCUAGUUGGUGAGGUAACGGCUCACCAAGGCCACGAUGCAUAGCCGACCUGAGAGGGUGAUCGGCCACACUGGGACUGAGACACGGCCCAAACUCCUACGGGAGGCAGCAGUAGGGAAUCUUCCGCAAUGGACGAAAGUCUGACGGAGCAACGCCGCGUGAGUGAUGAAGGCUUUCGGGUCGUAAAACUCUGUUGUUAGGGAAGAACAAGUACGAGAGUUUUUGCUCGUACCUUGACGGUCCCUAACCAGAAAGCCACGGCUAACUACGUGCCAGCAGCCGCGGUAAUACGUAGGUGGCAAGCGUUCUCCGGAAUUAUUGGGCGUAAAGCGCGCGCAAGCGGUUUCUUAUGUCUGAUGUGA
RNAcentral lists this ribosomal RNA (560 nucleotides) under Priestia megaterium. RNAcentral describes it as "bacterial SSU rRNA". It matches the Rfam family "Bacterial small subunit ribosomal RNA", at positions 55 to 597 of the family's 1533-position model. The record is from RNAcentral. Lineage: Bacteria; Bacillati; Bacillota; Bacilli; Caryophanales; Bacillaceae.